Molecule: ribosomal RNA, 524 nt
Filed under: uncultured bacterium
Lineage: Bacteria
Description: partial 16S ribosomal RNA
Rfam family: Bacterial small subunit ribosomal RNA
Source: RNAcentral
GACGAACGCUGGCGGCGUGCCUAAUACAUGCAAGUCGAGCGCAGGAAAUCGACGGAACCCUUCGGGGGGAAGUCGACGGAAUGAGCGGCGGACGGGUGAGUAACACGUAAAGAACCUGCCCUCAGGUCUGGGAUAACCACGAGAAAUCGGGGCUAAUACCGGAUGGGUCAUCGGACCGCAUGGUCCGAGGAUGAAAGGCGCUUCGGCGUCGCCUGGGGAUGGCUUUGCGGUGCAUUAGCUAGUUGGUGGGGUAAUGGCCCACCAAGGCGACGAUGCAUAGCCGACCUGAGAGGGUGAUCGGCCACGCUGGGACUGAGACACGGCCCAGACUCCUACGGGAGGCAGCAGUAGGGAAUCUUCCACAAUGGACGAAAGUCUGAUGGAGCAACGCCGCGUGAACGAUGAAGGCUUUCGGGUCGUAAAGUUCUGUUGUAAGGGAAGAACAAGUGCCGCAGGCAAUGGCGGCACCUUGACGGUACCUUGCGAGAAAGCCACGGCUAACUACGUGCCAGCCGCCGCAGUAA